GACGAACGCUGGCGGCGUGCCUAAUACAUGCAAGUCGAGCGAAGUUUUUCUGGUUCUUGCACCGGAAAAACUUAGCGGCGACCGGGUGAGUAACACGUAAAGAACCUGCCUCAUAGACUGGGACAACUAUUGGAAACGAUAGCUAAUACCGGAUAACAGCAUUAGCUGCAUGGUUGAUGUUUAAAAGUUGGUUUUGCUAACACUAUGAGAUGGCUUUGCGGUGCAUUAGCUAGUUGGUGGGGUAAAGGCCUACCAAGGCGACGAUGCAUAGCCGACCUGAGGGGGGGUCAGGCCCCAUGGGGAUUGGACACGGUCCAGACUCCUACGGGGGGGAAGAGGGGGGAAUAUUGCCCAAUGGGGCGAAGGCCGGACGGGCCAAGGCGGGGGGGGGAAGAAAGGUUUUGGGUUGGAAAAGCCCUGUUGUUGGGAAAAAAGGUUGGUGGAGAAAAUAUACCCGGUAGGACGGGAACCAAACCAGAAAGCCAGGGCAAAUUAGGG
RNAcentral lists this ribosomal RNA (498 nucleotides) under uncultured bacterium. RNAcentral describes it as "partial 16S ribosomal RNA". It matches the Rfam family "Bacterial small subunit ribosomal RNA", at positions 28 to 506 of the family's 1533-position model. The record is from RNAcentral.